RNAcentral lists this ribosomal RNA (253 nucleotides) under uncultured bacterium. RNAcentral describes it as "partial 16S ribosomal RNA". It matches the Rfam family "Bacterial small subunit ribosomal RNA", at positions 524 to 776 of the family's 1533-position model. The record is from RNAcentral.
UACAGAGGGUGCGAGCGUUGUUCGGAAUUACUGGGCGUAAAGCGUUUGUAGGCGGUGCUGAGAGUCCUAGGUGAAAUCCCCGAGCUCAACUCGGGAACUGCCUCGGAGACCUCAGUACUAGAGUACUGAAGGGGUUACUGGAAUUCCAUGUGUAGCGGUGAAAUGCGUAGAUAUAUGGAGGAACACCUGUGGCGAAGGCGGGUAACUGGUCAGAGACUGACGCUGAGAAACGAAAGCGUGGGGAGCAAACAGG